GGAGAGGUACCCAAGCGGUUAAGGGGCUCCCCUGCUAAGGGAGUAGCGCUGUAACAGGCGGCCAGGGUUCGAAUCCCUGUCUCUCCGCCA
This 90-nucleotide transfer RNA is filed under the name Prevotella sp. RNAcentral's name for it is "tRNA-Ser". It matches the Rfam family "tRNA". From Rfam's summary of the family: Transfer RNA (tRNA) molecules are approximately 80 nucleotides in length. Their secondary structure includes four short double-helical elements and three loops (D, anti-codon, and T loops). Further hydrogen bonds mediate the characteristic L-shaped molecular structure. tRNAs have two regions of fundamental functional importance: the anti-codon, which is responsible for specific mRNA codon recognition, and the 3' end, to which the tRNAs corresponding amino acid is attached (by aminoacyl-tRNA synthetases). tRNAs cope with the degeneracy of the genetic code in two manners: having more than one tRNA (with a specific anti-codon) for a particular amino acid; and 'wobble' base-pairing, i.e. permitting non-standard base-pairing at the 3rd anti-codon position. RNAcentral also lists the same sequence under 1 other name. Lineage: Bacteria; Pseudomonadati; Bacteroidota; Bacteroidia; Bacteroidales; Prevotellaceae. The record is from RNAcentral.